UAUAUAUUACAUCCGUCCCAAAUUAGUUGUCUUGGAUUUUUCUACAUACGGAUGUACCUAACACUAAAAUGUGUCUAGAUACAUCUGUAUCUAGACAAAUCUGAGACAACUAAUUCGAGACAGAGGGAGUACUUU
Triticum aestivum (bread wheat) is the source of this 135-nucleotide non-coding RNA. The record is from Rfam. NCBI's taxonomy places the organism in Eukaryota, Viridiplantae, Streptophyta, Magnoliopsida, Poales, Poaceae.